Molecule: ribosomal RNA, 497 nt
Filed under: uncultured bacterium
Lineage: Bacteria
Description: partial 16S ribosomal RNA
Rfam family: Bacterial small subunit ribosomal RNA
Source: RNAcentral
GAUGAACGCUGGCGGUGUGCCUAAUACAUGCGAGUCGAGCGAACAGACGAGGAGCUUGCUCCUCUGACGUUAGCGGCGGACGGGUGAGUAACACGUGGAUAACCUACCUAUAAGACUGGGAUAACUUCGGGAAACCGGUGCUACUACCGGAUAAUAUAUUGAACCGCAUGGUUCAAUAGUGAAAGACGGUUUUGCUGUCACUUAUAGAUGGAUCCGCGCCGCAUUAGCUAGUUGGUAAGGUAACGGCUUACCAAGGCUACGAUGCGUAGCCGACCUGAGAGGGUGAUCGGCCACACUGGAACGGAGACACGGUCCAGACUCCUACGGGAGGCAGCAGUAGGGAAUCUUCCGCAAUGGGCGAAAGCCUGACGGAGCAACACCGCGUGAGUGAUGAAGGUCUUCGGAUCGUAAAACUCUGUUAUUGGGGAAGAACAAAUGUGUAUGUAACUAUGCACGUCUUGACGGUACCUAAUCAGAAAGCCACGGCUAACUACGUG